AGCAGUCGCCGCGGGAAUACGUAGGGUGCAAGCGUUAAUCGGAAUUACUGGGCGCAAAGCGUGCGCAGGCGGUUAUAUAAGUCAGAUGUGAAAUCCCCGGGCUCAACCUGGGAACUGCAUUUGAGACUGUAUGGCUAGAGUGUGUCAGAAGGGGGGUAGAAUUCCACGUGUAGCAGUGAAAUGCGUAGAUAUGUGGAGGAAUACCGAUGGCGAAGGCAGCCCCCUGGGAUAACACUGACGCUCAUGCACGAAAGCGUGGGGAGCAAACAGGAUUAGAUACCCGUGUAGUCCCUGUCUCUUAUA
Molecule: ribosomal RNA, 303 nt
Filed under: uncultured bacterium
Lineage: Bacteria
Description: partial 16S ribosomal RNA
Rfam family: Bacterial small subunit ribosomal RNA
Source: RNAcentral